AGUGAACGCUGGCGGUGGGCCUAACACAUGCAAGUCGAACGGCAGCACAGUAAGAGCUUGCUCUUACGGGUGGCGAGUGGCGGACGGGUGAGGAAUACAUCGGAAUCUACUUUUUCGUGGGGGAUAACGUAGGGAAACUUACGCUAAUACCGCAUACGACCUACGGGUGAAAGCAGGGGAUCUUCGGACCUUGCGCGAUUGAAUGAGCCGAUGUCGGAUUAGCUAGUUGGCGGGGUAAAGGCCCACCAAGGCGACGAUCCGUAGCUGGUCUGAGAGGAUGAUCAGCCACACUGGAACUGAGACACGGUCCAGACUCCUACGGGAGGCAGCAGUGGGGAAUAUUGGACAAUGGGCGCAAGCCUGAUCCAGCCAUACCGCGUGGGUGAAGAAGGCCUUCGGGUUGUAAAGCCCUUUUAUUGGGAAAGAAAAGCAGCAGGUUAAUACCCCGCUGUUCUGACGGUACCCAAAGAAUAAGCACCGGCUAACUUCGCG
Molecule: ribosomal RNA, 492 nt
Filed under: uncultured bacterium
Lineage: Bacteria
Description: partial 16S ribosomal RNA
Rfam family: Bacterial small subunit ribosomal RNA
Source: RNAcentral